Molecule: long non-coding RNA, 245 nt
Filed under: Elaeis guineensis (African oil palm)
Lineage: Eukaryota; Viridiplantae; Streptophyta; Magnoliopsida; Arecales; Arecaceae
Description: long non-coding RNA (EGUI_LNC048884)
Source: RNAcentral
GAUCAACUUGUUCGCAUCAAGUAUGCCAUGCAGUGAAAGUGAGGAUGCUACUAUGCAGUUUAAUCUACAAGAAUAAGAACAUAAUAUAAGUAGAUAACUCAUGAUAACAUGUACAACUAGAUUAGGACUUUUGUCUAAUUGUGUCUCUCAUCUUUUUAUCAAAUUUCAUAGCCCUCAAGUAUGAAAAUGAGAAAUAUCAAUCAUGUUUCUAAAUGGGGUUGAGAUCUCUAUUCCUCACAAACACC